Protopterus annectens (West African lungfish) is the source of this 817-nucleotide long non-coding RNA. RefSeq lists it as uncharacterized. The transcript has 3 exons. Lineage: Eukaryota; Metazoa; Chordata; Ceratodontiformes; Protopteridae. The record is from RefSeq and is a predicted model, not a curated record.
ACCGCUUUGGGACAAAUUCAGUAUCAGCAGCCAUUUCUUCUGUUCUACGUUCUUCAUCAAUUCCAAUCUACCGCUCAAAAUCAUCCACUGUCAUGCCCAAAGGAGUGCAAAAGUUUUCAUGCUGAUAUCUUUCACUACUGUCACUAUUGUCUGUGACAUCAUCUCAGCUCGGCACAACAAAACUAGCCUUCAUGUAACAGUUGGCUUUCAAAGAUUGUGAGAUUUUAUUCCAUGCUUCUCUCCGAAUGUGUAAUGAAUCCAGUACAGAUAACGUCUAGGAUAUGGUAUAAGCAUCUUGGAUGGACCACAGCGAGUUUGAAUGUUAACAGAUAUGUUACUGUCACUGUUGACAUGAUGACAUGAGAAGUUCACUUCCUUGACAGUGGUCAGCAGCCCCCACAAUCCCCAGAAAAAAGGCAAAAUGUAAUGAAUGUCCUGGAAAAGAAUUAAAGAGCAAUCACUACAAAACAUGAAUCCGGAAUCUAAACUGUUUUCAAUCACAUCGGAGUAUCCAGUCUCAAAUUAAUAGAUGGGUCAUCCCACUUGCAGCGGGGGCUUAAAUCUCUGACUGAUAUGACCGACUUCAGGGUAGAAGAAACUUGUACAAAAGUGCGAACUACUAAAUAUGGCAGUUUUUCCAGAUGAUCUUUCAUUAGGUUUCUCUCAAGAAAAUGGCAUUAUUCUGAUCAUAUGUUCAAGCUUCAUCACAGCAUUGUUAAUCCCAUAGCAACUCUCGUAUAUUACAUGAAUCUGUAAACUUCUAACUUGUGGUAUACACAUGAUGAAUAGGCUGUAUGUUUAUAGGUCCAGGACUAAA